UACGAACUGUGCGAACGUUAUUCGGAAUCACUGGGCUUAAAGGGUGCGUAGGCGGCCUGUUAAGCAGGGUGUGAAAUGCCAGGGCUCAACCUUGGCAUGGCGCCCUGAACUGGCGGGCUUGAGUGAGCUAGGGGUGUGUGGAACUUCCGGUGGAGCGGUGAAAUGUGUUGAGAUCGGAAGGAACACCGGUGGCGAAAGCGACACACUGGGGCUUAACUGACGCUGAGGCACGAAAGCCAGGGGAGCGAACGGG
RNAcentral lists this ribosomal RNA (253 nucleotides) under uncultured Planctomyces sp. RNAcentral describes it as "partial 16S ribosomal RNA". It matches the Rfam family "Bacterial small subunit ribosomal RNA", at positions 524 to 776 of the family's 1533-position model. The record is from RNAcentral. Lineage: Bacteria; Pseudomonadati; Planctomycetota; Planctomycetia; Planctomycetales; Planctomycetaceae.